RNAcentral lists this ribosomal RNA (404 nucleotides) under uncultured bacterium. RNAcentral's name for it is "bacterial SSU rRNA". It matches the Rfam family "Bacterial small subunit ribosomal RNA", at positions 356 to 774 of the family's 1533-position model. The record is from RNAcentral.
GGGGAAUAUUGGGCAAUGGGGGAAACCCUGACCCAGCAAUGCCGCGUGAAGGAAGAAGGCCUUCGGGUUGUAAACUUCUGUGAUGGGGGACGAAGAAAGUGACGGUACCCCGUAAGAAAGCUCCGGCAAACUACGUGCCAGCAGCCGCGGUAAUACGUAGGGAGCAAGCGUUGUCCGGAAUUACUGGGCGUAAAGGGCGCGUAGGCGGCGGCACAAGUCUCAUGUGAAAGCCCCGGGCUUAACCCGGGAAGAGCAUGGGAAACUGUGUGGCUUGAGUGAGGUAGAGGAUCGUGGAAUUCCUAGUGUAGCGGUAAAAUGCAUAGAUAUUAGGAGGAACACCGGUGGCGAAGGCGACGAUCUGGGCCUUAACUGACGCUGAGGCGCGAAAGCGUGGGUAGCAAACA